This 358-nucleotide unclassified non-coding RNA is filed under the name soil metagenome. RNAcentral's name for it is "partial contains 5.8S ribosomal RNA, internal transcribed spacer 2, and large subunit ribosomal RNA". The stretch from base 1 to 120 matches the Rfam family "5.8S ribosomal RNA", at positions 35 to 154 of the family's 154-position model. The record is from RNAcentral.
GAUGAAGAACGUAGCGAAAUGCGAUAAGUAAUGUGAAUUGCAGAAUUCAGUGAAUCAUCGAAUCUUUGAACGCACAUUGCGCCCGUCAGUAUUCUGGCGGGCAUGCCUGUUCGAGCGUCAUUACGCCCCUCAAGUCCCCUGUGGACUUGGUGUUGGGGAUCGGCGAGGCUGGUUUUCCAGCACAGCCGUCCCUUAAAUUAAUUGGCGGUCUCGCCGUGGCCCUUCUCUGCGCAGUAGUAAAACACUCGCAACAGGAGCCCGGCGCGGUCCACUGCCGUAAAACCCCCCAACUUUUUAUAGUUGACCUCGAAUCAGGUAGGACUACCCGCUGAACUUAAGCAUAUCAAUAAGCGGAGGA